This 3870-nucleotide long non-coding RNA is filed under the name Homo sapiens (human). RNAcentral describes it as "SOX2 overlapping transcript". The stretch from base 171 to 446 matches the Rfam family "SOX2 overlapping transcript exon 3". The record is from RNAcentral. Lineage: Eukaryota; Metazoa; Chordata; Mammalia; Primates; Hominidae.
GCUGUAGUGUACUGGCCUAGCUCUAAAACUUUGCAGUACAUCACUUAUUUUUAACUUUCACUUUUUUUCUCUUUUCUUCUUUUGGAGAAAGAAAGCCUGACAGGUUUCUUCGGAAAAGUGGCCAUCCAUGGAAUGAAUGAAAUGUUCUCUUUCUAUUCCAGGGAUUGCAGUGGCAAAGCUAGGCUAGGUCUUGGAGGCUGGUGUAAGGCGAUGUGGGUGAAGGCAGGAGGCUGAUGGAAAGACUGGGGGGAAGAAAAGCCGAAAUGGAUUCACGGUGCCUUGGAUGAAGGACGAGAGGGGAACUGCAAGCUCCUUCAACUGGUUCUGUCCGGUGAGAAGUGAUCAAGCUUGGGCUGACAAGAGGCUCAGGGAGCCCUCACGUUCUUUCGCUUUUUUACCUGCCAAUCAAACUGCUACAAGACAACACCCUGAUCUGGCAUGGACAUCGCGGGUCCAAGCCUGUAGCCCCAAAUCGGAUAAUCUCUGCAGCUGAUAACAAGCAAAAGAGAAGCCAGGCAACAGCCAUAUUAAAGAAGAAAACAAUCAACUCUGAGAUCCAACUUAGAAAUAAUGUUUCAUUCAAGAUAAGGCUCGUGGCUUAGGAGAUUGUGACCUGGCUUGCAUCAUUCUAAGACUUCUAUCGUCUGUUUUCAAAACCCAAGGAGGACCUCCUUUUCUGUGUGAUAGUUCCUCAUGCUUUGCCAGCCACUGGGUCUUUAAGGAAGCUUGCCAAGAGUUCCCGGCUGGGAAGGACAGUUCGAGUUCAUCAUAGACAAUGAGCUGGCACCACAGUUUAAGUGACUCACCAACCUGGUUGCCCACUUCAAAAUGUCAAGAACCACACUAUCUAAUUGAAAGAACUGUGUUUUAGCAAAGUGUAAUUGGAUCGCCUGGCAAGAUCAUCUCAAACUAUGUCUCUGACCUUGCCUUUCAGUGGCUAUUUUGAGCACAAGAGGAGAAAGGAAAUGAUUCCUGAAUUAUAUCUUGUUUUUAAAAAUUAAGAUUAAUUAAUACUUGGUUUUAUGUUCAUUCCAUUGUAGGAACUUAGUGAUUAUUACAAAACAGUCAAAAUAGGUCAUAGCAAAAUGAACGUUUAAGAUUAGGUUAAAACAUUCCUCUGAAAUUUUAGUAUUCACUUUUGAAGUGUCAAUUACUAUAUUUCUGUAAUUUCUCAUUUUUUUCUUGGCUUAGAGUCAAGAUGAAAAAUGAUAUUUGAAUCAAAGACAUUGUUUUGUUAUAUAGCCACUCCUUUCUAAAAUGCAAAUCCACCCUCCCCUCACCAAUGCUUUAUUCUUUGUGCGCGCACACACACACACACACACACACACACACACACACACACACAGACAUACACAGAACCAGCACCCAAAUGGUAGAGGAGGUCCUUCCAAGACUUCUAGGACCUGGAUCAUGUAAGCAGUAGAUGAGAAAAUGAAGUAAGAGAUAUAGAGUAAUAACAAUAAAAGUCAAUGAUUUCAUUUUACAAAAAAGUCAUUGUGUAGUACUCAGAUAUUUUUAAGAGCAAGUAUUAUUAUGACUAAAGUAUAUUAUACUUCUAAAUUAUUAUGAUUCUCAUCUAAUUUCAAGCCACACAUAGGCGCCAUUUGAAAGCAUUUUGUGUUACAACCUAUCAACAAAAAUCAACUAAUAGUUUUAUAACGUGCAUAGGUUUACCCCAUGGGGAAUUAAAAUUUUUAUCUGCAAGUAUUUCUGUUGUUGUGAGACUUUAGGACAAGACAACAUUUGGUGUUAACAUAGAAGAAUAUUCUAUGGCUUUUUUAGCUUUAAAGUUCAUUACUCUAAAAUAAAGUACACGUGGUAUUUUUUUCUUCCUAGUGUUCUCUUAUUAUAUGUAGAGUAUUUUCGGUUGUUGUUUUUAACGUAUACAUUAUUUUUAUUAAGUCAUUUCAUAAAAGAUAAGAUAUAUACUAAUAGACCCUUGGUUUUCUCCUAAUUUAAUUAUUUCAAGUCAAGCAAAAUUGGGCAAUUUUCUUUCAGGAAAAAAAAAAUAUUGAGCAUGAUUUUGAGGUAAAACUGAUUAUUUACAGCAUCUUUUCUCUAAUAGGCUAACAUUUAUGAUGGAUCUUAUUUCAAAGUUGAUUAUUCUCAAAGAAAAGUGGAGAUAUUAGAAUUUCCGAGUAAAUUGCAUUGUUUUAAAAAGUACUUUAAUGCAUUGUUCACAUUGUUGCCAGCUAUUGACCAAAAAAGAGAAGAAGAAAAAAGAAAUAAAAAAAGCAGUAUCUGCUCCAAACGUCAAGUUUUGCAGUUUGAAAGACUUGUACAUUAUAAUUGUUUUUUUCUUUUUUGGAAAGCAGUAGUAAUUAAUACCAAAGGCAUAGACAAUUUAGGGCCAUAACCUCCCUUCCCCCCUCUCCACCUUUUUUUUUUUUUUUUUUUUUUUUUAACUUUAACCAUGAUAGGCAUCUCUGCAAGGUAGGUUUUAACAUAUUUUUUUCCUAAUUUUUUUCCCUCCAUUCAGUAAGAAGGAUAAGCUUUUAGAGUACCCAGUCACCGUGGUAACUGCCAAAAAAAUUCUCCUGAAGUUUGAAGAGGUCAGCUAGCAGGGUCAACAACCCUGGCCUCUCUCUGAGCUCGGUCUAGCAUGCCCCAGCCUGCGGUUGGAGUGUCAGGCCAGAUCUGACCCUGGGAGGUGGACCAUUCUGGCUCUGAUAUAAAUUUUUCGAGUCAGUUCAUGGCCUGGACUCUCCAGGUGGCCUCCAAAAUCGAUUUUGACCCCCUGACCCUGUCUCACGGAGGCAUAGCAUCCACCCUAAGUAAGGAUUUAGCCAGGAAUGACAGCUUUCCACUGAGUGUUAUUGGGGACAGUAUAAACAGUUUGGAAAGCAAGUAAGGAGGUGUGAGGGCUAGCAAUCAUUAAAAGCACAUUAAAAAACAAUUUUUAAAAAUCUUUAUUAGAGAAAGUUGUAAAUGCAUAUCUGUUACAGAAUUCCUGUGAUUUGUAGAGUUUUCUAGUCAGUUUUGAAUAUAAAUAGGUCACAUAUCUUUAUCUUUUUGCAUACUUUGUUACAAAUAUGCAAAUAAGAUAGGCAUACUUGCUACAAAAUAGGUACAGCAGGAAUGUAAUAUGUUCAGAAAAGGCAAACUGGUUAUUAAAACACAUUAACAGGUAAGGAGUUUCUAAUAUUUUAAAUACUAAAAUUUUACAUGUGUAUUUUGAAGUUUUUAAAAUGGAAAAAUAAAGAACCUUUAAAAAACCCAACAGUGUGGAAUAAAGAUAAACUUGUUGCACUCAAGGUACAUUUCUACUUUGUAAAGCAAGAAGCCAAUACACUCAGUUGGAUAAAAAUGAGAGAAAAAUUGUAAAUAUAGAGAGUUACAGCUUAUAGAGCUGAAGAGGAAUAAAACAAAAAAAAGUGUCUCUGAAUAACUUUAUGUAUUUUCAACAGUUUAAGAUAUCAGAAACUUGGAAAAUAAAUAUGAUAUAUAUAUAAAUCAUCAGUGAUUAUUUCCUUUUCAUUCCCCCCCGCCCCCAGGAUGCCACCGUGAGUGUUUGAUUUUCUCUAGGAAAGUAGAAUUCUCUUUGAGAGUUCUAGCCUGUGAACUCAGUAUGUAAAUGUGGCCAUCAAGAAGACAGAACUGCCAAGAGGAAAGAUUAUGAAUGUUUUUCUUCCUUAAAACCAUUCACAGUGUUUCUUCUUCCAGUGCUUUACUCAGACUUCUCCCCUUUUCCCAGCUCUGUUGAAAAUGGCUUCAAAAGCAACACUGCAGUGGCUAAACCAAUUGUACUGUGAAGUUGUUGAGAUGCCAUUUCAUCUGAAUCCUUCGUAAAAAUUAGAUUUUUAAGUAGGGGUGAAUAUCCUUUUGGGAGAGGGAAUGGGAGGGUAGAAGAAGGGGGGAAAGGACAGAGCA